GAUGAACGCUGGCGGCGUGCCUAAUACAUGCAAGUCGAGCGAACAGAUGAGGAGCUUGCUCCUCUGACGUUAGCGGCGGACGGGUGAGUAACACGUGGAUAACCUACCUAUAAGACUGGGAUAACUUCGGGAAACCGGCGCUAAUACCGGAUAAUAUAUUGAACCGCAUGGUUCAAUAGUGAAAGACGGUUUUGCUGUCACUUAUAGCUGGAUCCGCGCCGCAUUAGCUAGUUGGUAAGGUAACGGCUUACCAAGGCAACGAUGCGUAGCCGACCUGAGAGGGGGGUCGGCCACACGGGAACUGAGACACGGUCCAGACUCCUACGGGAGGCAGCAGUAGGGAAUCUUCCGCAAUGGGCGAAAGCUUGACGGAGCAACGCGGCGUGAGUGAUGAAGGUCUUCGGAGCGUAAAACUCUGUUAUUAGGGAAGAACAAAUGUGUAAGUAACUAUGCACGUCUUGACGGUACCUAAUCAGAAAGCCACGGCUAACUACGUG
RNAcentral lists this ribosomal RNA (497 nucleotides) under uncultured bacterium. Its description in RNAcentral is "partial 16S ribosomal RNA". It matches the Rfam family "Bacterial small subunit ribosomal RNA", at positions 28 to 507 of the family's 1533-position model. The record is from RNAcentral.